Molecule: ribosomal RNA, 429 nt
Filed under: Chloroflexota bacterium
Lineage: Bacteria; Bacillati; Chloroflexota
Description: Chloroflexi bacterium partial 16S ribosomal RNA
Rfam family: Bacterial small subunit ribosomal RNA
Source: RNAcentral
UGGGGAAUAUUGCACAAUGGGCGCAAGCCUGAUGCAGCCAUGCCGCGUGUGUGAAGAAGGCCUUCGGGUUGUAAAGCACUUUCAGCGGGGAGGAAGGCGUUAAGGUUAAUAACCUUGGCGAUUGACGUUACCCGCAGAAGAAGCACCGGCUAACUCCGUGCCAGCAGCCGCGGUAAUACGGAGGGUGCAAGCGUUAAUCGGAAUUACUGGGCGUAAAGCGCACGCAGGCGGUCUGUCAAGUCGGAUGUGAAAUCCCCGGGCUCAACCUGGGAAGUGCAUUCGAAACUGGCAGGCUAGAGUCUUGUAGAGGGGGGUAGAAUUCCAGGUGUAGCGGUGAAAUGCGUAGAGAUCUGGAGGAAUACCGGUGGCGAAGGCGGCCCCCUGGACAAAGACUGACGCACAGGUGCGAAAGCGUGGGGAGCAAACAGG